UGCCAGCAGCCGCGGUAAUACAGAGGGUGCAAGCGUUAAUCGGAUUUACUGGGCGUAAAGCGCGCGUAGGUGGCCAAUUAAGUCAAAUGUGAAAUCCCCGAGCUUAACUUGGGAAUUGCAUUCGAUACUGGUUGGCUAGAGUAUGGGAGAGGAUGGUAGAAUUCCAGGUGUAGCGGUGAAAUGCGUAGAGAUCUGGAGGAAUACCGAUGGCGAAGGCAGCCAUCUGGCCUAAUACUGACACUGAGGUGCGAAAGCAUGGGGAGCAAACAGGAUUAGAUACCCUGGUAGUCCAUGCCGUAAACGAUGUCUACUAGCCGUUGGGGCCUUUGAGGCUUUAGUGGCGCAGCUAACGCGAUAAGUAGACCGCCUGGGGAGUACGGUCGCAAGACUAAAACUCAAAUGAAUUGACGGGGGCCCGCACAAGCGGUGGAGCAUGUGGUUUAAUUCGAUGCAACGCGAAGAACCUUACCUGGUCUUGACAUAGUAAGAACUUUCCAGAGAUGGAUUGGUGCCUUCGGGAACUUACAUACAGGUGCUGCAUGGCUGUCGUCAGCUCGUGUCGUGAGAUGUUGGGUUAAGUCCCGCAACGAGCGCAACCCUUU
This 602-nucleotide ribosomal RNA is filed under the name uncultured Acinetobacter sp. RNAcentral's name for it is "bacterial SSU rRNA". It matches the Rfam family "Bacterial small subunit ribosomal RNA", at positions 506 to 1107 of the family's 1533-position model. The record is from RNAcentral. Lineage: Bacteria; Pseudomonadati; Pseudomonadota; Gammaproteobacteria; Moraxellales; Moraxellaceae.